This is a long non-coding RNA of Solea senegalensis (Senegalese sole), 1134 nucleotides long. RefSeq lists it as uncharacterized. NCBI's taxonomy places the organism in Eukaryota, Metazoa, Chordata, Actinopteri, Pleuronectiformes, Soleidae. The transcript has 2 exons. The record is from RefSeq and is a predicted model, not a curated record.
UUCUCAUUUCUUUAACUGAGCUGUUGUAAAUGUGUGUUUCCCCCCUGGGCGAGGAAUGAAGUCAUUCAAUCUUCCAACAGCCCCACUGAUUAUGCAGACAAAAAACAGAUCUGAGCUUUGCUGGCUGGCAUCGACGCAGUUUGGUUUUCUUUUAUGACUUAUUUGAUAAUAUUUCCUGUCUGUCCUUUGAAGCCCUAGUAAGAGACCACAAUAUUCCACAAUCUCACUUCUUCAGAUAUCUUCAGGCUCGCAGUUUUGCCUCCAAACAUUUCCCAACAUACCCCAAGCCGCCAAACAAAGAUUCCACAUAUGAUUUGCUAAAUCUCGAUCCUUGGAACAGGGGUCUGAUUUCCAAGGCCUAUAUCAUACAUCAUACACUAAAACCAGAGAAAGCUGGGAACGAGACCUGGGAAUAUCAAUUCCUGAUAUUGUCACAUGUUGUGGUCCUGUCCAUCCCUAGUUGAUUUUUGUUUGUUUAUCAGUUUUAUCCAAAGCAUCUCUCAAACCCAAUCCGCUCACUGCUGUAUUUGGAACCAUAUCACCAGAAAUACAGUAUAUACCACUAAUGCUUAAAAGAGAGCAUUAGCAUUCUGUAGCCUCAUAGCCCGCAGGGUGAUUCUAAUGAAUUGGAAAUCUAACAAAUGCCUGUCCUUCAAGAGGUGGAUCCAGGAGAUGUUAUCUCUACUCCAGCUAGAAAAAAUAAGGCACACAUUGAAGGGCUCCUGUGACGCAUACACCAGAGUGUGGUCUCCCUUUGUCGAGUAUGUGAAGGAGUUAAAUCUGUAACGUGUCAUGUUAUUUAAAUGCUUCUCUGUUUGUCUGACUGGCCUAUUGAUGUCAUGCUUCUGUAGUAUCUCUGGAUCUCUUUUUUCCUCACUCAUGGCCCAAGGGAGGGAAUACGUGGUUAUGUUAACGUGUAUUGUUAUUUUUGUUUUGCAUGUGUCUAACUUUUUGUUUAUAUAUUUGAAAAUGCCUUAAAUGAAGUCAUAAAAAGUCUGCUUUUAGUAGAUAUUAGUGCCUGCAUGGAUGGUUUUUUAAGAAUAUUUGUAAUGGAUCGGGUCUAAAACCAGACUAAUCUGGUAAUUGCGUUGGAUUUUACUUGAAUAAAAACUCUAGAGUCACUGACAAUGUGAA